CUACGGGUGGCAGCAGUGGGGAAUAUUGCACAAUGGGCGCAAGCCUGAUGCAGCCAUGCCGCGUGUGUGAAGAAGGCCUUCGGGUUGUAAAGCAUUUUCAGCGGGGAGGAAGGCGGUGAGGUUAAUAACCUUAUCGAUUGACGUUACCCGCAGAAGAAGCACCGGCUAACUCCGUGCCAGCAGCCGCGGUAAUACGGAGGGUGCAAGCGUUAAUCGGAAUUACUGGGCGUAAAGCGCACGCAGGCGGUCUGUCAAGUCGGAUGUGAAAUCCCCGGGCUCAACCUGGGAACUGCAUUCGAAACUGGCAGGCUAGAGUCUUGUAGAGGGGGGUAGAAUUCCAGGUGUAGCGGUGAAAUGCGUAGAGAUCUGGAGGAAUACCGGUGGCGAAGGCGGCCCCCUGGACAAAGACUGACGCUCAGGUGCGAAAGCGUGGGGAGCAAACAGGAUUAGAUACCCGAGUAGUC
Molecule: ribosomal RNA, 464 nt
Filed under: uncultured Klebsiella sp.
Lineage: Bacteria; Pseudomonadati; Pseudomonadota; Gammaproteobacteria; Enterobacterales; Enterobacteriaceae
Description: bacterial SSU rRNA
Rfam family: Bacterial small subunit ribosomal RNA
Source: RNAcentral